This 387-nucleotide ribosomal RNA is filed under the name Enterobacter cloacae. RNAcentral describes it as "partial 23S ribosomal RNA". It matches the Rfam family "Bacterial large subunit ribosomal RNA", at positions 911 to 1294 of the family's 2925-position model. The record is from RNAcentral. Lineage: Bacteria; Pseudomonadati; Pseudomonadota; Gammaproteobacteria; Enterobacterales; Enterobacteriaceae.
UGUUUCGGCUAGGGGGCCAUCCCGGCUUACCAACCCGAUGCAAACUACGAAUACCGAAGAAUGUUAUCACGGGAGACACACGGCGGGUGCUAACGUCCGUCGUGAAGAGGGAAACAACCCAGACCGCCAGCUAAGGUCCCAAAGUCAUGGUUAAGUGGGAAACGAUGUGGGAAGGCCCAGACAGCCAGGAUGUUGGCUUAGAAGCAGCCAUCAUUUAAAGAAAGCGUAAUAGCUCACUGGUCGAGUCGGCCUGCGCGGAAGAUGUAACGGGGCUAAACCAUGCACCGAAGCUGCGGCAGCGACGCUUAUGCGUUGUUGGGUAGGGGAGCGUUCUGUAAGCCGUUGAAGGUGGCCUGUGAGGGUUGCUGGAGGUAUCAGAAGUGCGAA